Molecule: ribosomal RNA, 331 nt
Filed under: Bacillus sp. 4917
Lineage: Bacteria; Bacillati; Bacillota; Bacilli; Caryophanales; Bacillaceae
Description: bacterial SSU rRNA
Rfam family: Bacterial small subunit ribosomal RNA
Source: RNAcentral
AAUGGACGAAAGUCUGACGGAGCAACGCCGCGUGAGUGAUGAAGGCUUUCGGGUCGUAAAACUCUGUUGUUAGGGAAGAACAAGUGCUAGUUGAAUAAGCUGGCACCUUGACGGUACCUAACCAGAAAGCCACGGCUAACUACGUGCCAGCAGCCGCGGUAAUACGUAGGUGGCAAGCGUUAUCCGGAAUUAUUGGGCGUAAAGCGCGCGCAGGUGGUUUCUUAAGUCUGAUGUGAAAGCCCACGGCUCAACCGUGGAGGGUCAUUGGAGACUGGGAGACUUGAGUGCAGAAGAGGAGAGUGGAAUUCCCUGUGUAGCGGUGAAAUGCGUA